AAUGAACGCUGGCGGCAUGCCUUACACAUGCAAGUCGAACGGCAGCAUGACCUAGCUUGCUAGGUUGAUGGCGAGUGGCGAACGGGUGAGUAAUGCAUCGGAACGUGCCUUUUAGUGGGGGAUAACGUAGCGAAAGUUACGCUAAUACCGCAUAUUCUCUGAUGAGGAAAGCAGGGGAGCUUCGGGCCUUGCGCUAGAAGAGCGGCCGAUGUCGGAUUAGCUAGUUGGUGAGGUAAAGGCUCACCAAGGCAAUGAUCCGUAGCGGGUCUGAGAGGAUGAUCCGCCACACUGGGACUGAGACACGGCCCAGACUCCUACGGGAGGCAGCAGUGGGGAAUUUUGGACAAUGGGCGCAAGCCUGAUCCAGCCAUGCCGCGUGAGUGAAGAAGGCCUUCGGGGUGUAAAGCUCUUUCGGCUGGGAAGAAAUCGCACCCUCUAAUACAGGGUGUGGAUGACGGUACCAGCAGAAGAAGCACCGGCUAACUACGUG
RNAcentral lists this ribosomal RNA (490 nucleotides) under uncultured bacterium. RNAcentral's name for it is "partial 16S ribosomal RNA". It matches the Rfam family "Bacterial small subunit ribosomal RNA", at positions 29 to 507 of the family's 1533-position model. The record is from RNAcentral.